CCCUUAGAUGUUCUGGGCCGCACGCGCGCUACACUGACGAAUGCAACGAGCUUAUAACCUUGGCCGAAAGGUCUGGGUAAUCUCCAAAUUUCGUCGUGAUGGGGAUAGACCUUUGCAAUUAUGGGUCUUCAACGAGGAAUUCCUAGUAAACGCAAGUCAUCAGCUUGCAUUGAUUACGUCCCUGCCCUUUGUACACACCGCCCGUCGCACCUACCGAUUGAAUGGUCCGGUGAAAUCUCGGGACGGCGGCUUGGUCGCUUGCGUCCGACUGCUGAAACUUGAUUAAACCAUAUCAUUUAGAGGAAGGUGAAGUCGUAACA
Molecule: ribosomal RNA, 320 nt
Filed under: uncultured eukaryote
Lineage: Eukaryota
Description: partial 18S ribosomal RNA
Rfam family: Eukaryotic small subunit ribosomal RNA
Source: RNAcentral